RNAcentral lists this ribosomal RNA (504 nucleotides) under uncultured bacterium. RNAcentral describes it as "bacterial SSU rRNA". It matches the Rfam family "Bacterial small subunit ribosomal RNA", at positions 28 to 523 of the family's 1533-position model. The record is from RNAcentral.
GACGAACGCUGGCGGCGUGGAUUAGGCAUGCAAGUCGAACGGUAUCAUCCUUUCGGGGGUGAGAGAGUGGCGAACUGGUGAGUAACACGUAGGUUAUCUACCCUCAAGACGGGGACAACCCAGGGAAACUUGGGCUAAUACCGGAUGUGAGCAACUUUUAGUUGUUUGAAAGGUGGCGUAAGCUGUCGCUUGGGGAUGAGCCUGCGUCCUAUUAGUUAGUUGGUGAGGUAACGGCUCACCUAGGCAAUGAUAGGUAGGCGGCCUUAACGGGUGGUCGCCCACACUGGGAUUGAGAUACGGCCCAGACUCCUACGGGAGGCAGCAGUCGAGAAUAGUCUACAAUGGUCGGAAGACUGAUAGUGCGACGCCGCGUGAACGAUGAAUCCCUUCGGGGUGUAAAGUUCUUUUAUAUGUGAGCAGUGCUUCUUAUAUUAACAGUAUGGGAGAGAGAUAUUAGCAUAUGAAUAAGCAACGGCUAAACUCCGUGCCCAGCAGCCGCGGUAA